Molecule: ribosomal RNA, 253 nt
Filed under: uncultured bacterium
Lineage: Bacteria
Description: partial 16S ribosomal RNA
Rfam family: Bacterial small subunit ribosomal RNA
Source: RNAcentral
UACGUAGGGUGCAAGCGUUGUCCGGAAUUAUUGGGCGUAAAGAGCUCGUAGGCGGUUUGUCGCGUCGAAUGUGAAAACCCGGGGCUCAACUCCGGGCCUGCAGUCGAUACGGGCUGGCUUGAGUGCGGUAGGGGAGACUGGAAUUCCUGGUGUAGCGGUGAAAUGCGCAGAUAUCAGGAGGAACACCGGUGGCGAAGGCGGGUCUCUGGGCCGUAACUGACGCUGAGGAGCGAAAGCGUGGGGAGCGAACAGG